Long non-coding RNA from Nymphaea colorata (pocket water lily), 718 nucleotides. RefSeq lists it as uncharacterized. The record is from RefSeq and is a predicted model, not a curated record. Lineage: Eukaryota; Viridiplantae; Streptophyta; Magnoliopsida; Nymphaeales; Nymphaeaceae. The transcript is spliced from 3 exons.
UCCUAAUCUCCCUUCACUCUCCUUCUGUUCAGUUUGUUCUACAUCUCUGUUCUCAUUUGGUAUCAGAGCAUAGAAUAGUUUUCCUUACCUAGUUUCAUAAGUAGCCCAAGUAUGGAGUCUGUACCUGAGCCUCCGAUUGUAGAUGUAGACCUCCGAAGCAUGACUUCAGAAGAAAGUGAACGAAAAUAGUGAUCAAGUUAGAUUGCUUUCUAAGAUGUGGGAGGCAAUAGUGCUUGUUAAAGUGUAGUUGAAGCACAAGGGCAAAGCCUGAUUAUGCGGAGCCUUUUGUUGUCAAUACUUGAGAAAUUAAAAUACUUAAUAGUCAGAAUAUCAAUAUACAGUUAAAACAUAAAGGAAAAGAAGAAGCUAUGGAUACAAAGGUAGUCUCAAGGGAUGAAGCUUCUUUGCUUAGCAUGGGCAAAGGCACGGUACCACGCAAACCUUGCUUUGGUAGUAUUCCACCAAACUUCCAGCCCAAUCUUGGGUACACAAUAGCUUGAUGAAGUGCGCUGCUGAAGUCGGGAACCAUAACAUCUUGUGGAUAUGAAAGGCAUAUUGAGGAAUAAUUAGUAGCUUGCGCAGUAGGAUGAUCGGCCAACUGCAAGAAAUUGGAUGCUCUUUAACCCUGUUAUUGUACAGGAGUUUAUACAAUUCAAGAAAUUGUUUUCCUUUCGAAUGUAAUUGAAACAAAAGCCAAUCAGUGCAACAUUACUCAAUC